Molecule: ribosomal RNA, 303 nt
Filed under: uncultured bacterium
Lineage: Bacteria
Description: partial 16S ribosomal RNA
Rfam family: Bacterial small subunit ribosomal RNA
Source: RNAcentral
AGCAGCCGCCGCGGUAAUACGUAGGGUGCAAGCGUUAAUCGGAAUUACUGGGCGUAAAGCGUGCGCAGGCGGUUUUGUAAGACAGAGGUGAAAUCCCCGGGCUCAACCUGGGAACUGCCUUUGUGACUGCAAGGCUAGAGUACGGCAGAGGGGGAUGGAAUUCCGCGUGUAGCAGUGAAAUGCGUAGAUAUGCGGAGGAACACCGAUGGCGAAGGCAAUCCCCUGGGCCUGUACUGACGCUCAUGCACGAAAGCGUGGGGAGCAAACAGGAUUAGAUACCCGGGUAGUCCCUGUCUCUUAUAC